RNAcentral lists this long non-coding RNA (229 nucleotides) under Drosophila guanche. Lineage: Eukaryota; Metazoa; Arthropoda; Insecta; Diptera; Drosophilidae. The record is from RNAcentral.
CUUAGGCCCAGUCAGAGUCAGAGGAGACCCAGGAGAGUGCUCUCCGCACUCCACUCUCUGGAUCUUACUGCUUAACUGCAAUCCCCGUGGGCAAUUCGGUUGCCAUUUGUGUUGUUGCCCCUUUUACCUUUUUCUUGUCCCGUUUUUUUUGUGUCUUCUGGAAAAAUGGUUGACGGAAAUGUUAUUUAAGAAGCGGAGAAAUGUUUUGCAUUUUUUCAUGGUUUCUAGC